Molecule: long non-coding RNA, 675 nt
Organism: Branchiostoma belcheri (Belcher's lancelet)
Lineage: Eukaryota; Metazoa; Chordata; Leptocardii; Amphioxiformes; Branchiostomatidae
Exons: 5
Source: RefSeq, a predicted model, not a curated record
UAAGCCGCGCGGAGUACCGAGUGCAAAAGUUUACUUGUCGCGAGUCGGGAGUUGGCCAUGCAUGAGGCGAGGCAAAUUAUGCUGUCGAUCGUGCAGCGACCACAGAGCUUCGACAAAGCAGUGCAGCUUAUCGUCAGCUCACUCCUGAACUUGUGACCGCCGUGAGCAUGGGAUUCCAGCUUCCGGCUAACGAAGGUACCACCAUUGCUGUAGAGGCCAGGGAUACCCGGGAGCAUUUGAUCGAGUGAUAGACACAACCCCUGACAGCAGCCCAAGAUAGGAAGACCUGGCUACACCUCUGCAAAGUCUGCCUUGUCCCCCUGGUGACCAGUGUCGGUUAUGGAACUAGGUGCUACUUUAGCAGAAGGCUGUCAGUUCCAUUGUCCAUUGUACUCUGCUAGCAACUGAGAUGCAAGCUGAUACACCACUUAUCACUGUUCCCGGCCUCUCUGGAAUGACAGCCACUUCAAAUAUGCAGGGCCUAAGACUGACAAGUCCCUGUGCUACCAGAUAAAUCCUGAUUUAUGAUUGAAAAUGUACCUUUAGUCAUUACUUUAUGAUAUUACAGGUCAUUCUUUUAACUGGUAUGUAAUUAUGCGUCAAUUGUAUUUUGGGCCUGACAGAUAUUGCAUAUUAUUCAUUAAUGUGUUUUUUGGAAAUAUUGUAAAGACCAAG